Molecule: unclassified non-coding RNA, 207 nt
Filed under: Hevea brasiliensis (rubber tree)
Lineage: Eukaryota; Viridiplantae; Streptophyta; Magnoliopsida; Malpighiales; Euphorbiaceae
Source: RNAcentral
AUAACUGGCCGGAUUGACCUGUACACAGAAUUCUGGAUAAAAUUGGUUCUGCUAGAUUUGGUGUCUUGACUUUAGAGGACAAUUUCAUUAAGUUCUGGUGAAAAUUUAGAGUUAUGGUCUUCAUGAAAGUUGUUCUAAAUUAUCUAAGUUUUCUAUUGAUAUAAAAUUUAGGUCAACUGGAUAUUUCUACACUGAGUUAUGACUAAA